This 609-nucleotide unclassified non-coding RNA is filed under the name Trichoderma paraviridescens. Its description in RNAcentral is "sequence contains 18S rRNA gene, ITS1, 5.8S rRNA gene, ITS2, 28S rRNA gene". The stretch from base 228 to 381 matches the Rfam family "5.8S ribosomal RNA". Lineage: Eukaryota; Fungi; Ascomycota; Sordariomycetes; Hypocreales; Hypocreaceae. RNAcentral also lists the same sequence under 1 other name. The record is from RNAcentral.
UCGUAACAAGGUCUCCGUUGGUGAACCAGCGGAGGGAUCAUUACCGAGUUUACAACUCCCAAACCCAAUGUGAACCAUACCAAACUGUUGCCUCGGCGGGGUCACGCCCCGGGUGCGUCGCAGCCCCGGAACCAGGCGCCCGCCGGAGGGACCAACCAAACUCUUUCUGUAGUCCCCUCGCGGACGUUAUUUCUUACAGCUCUGAGCAAAAAUUCAAAAUGAAUCAAAACUUUCAACAACGGAUCUCUUGGUUCUGGCAUCGAUGAAGAACGCAGCGAAAUGCGAUAAGUAAUGUGAAUUGCAGAAUUCAGUGAAUCAUCGAAUCUUUGAACGCACAUUGCGCCCGCCAGUAUUCUGGCGGGCAUGCCUGUCCGAGCGUCAUUUCAACCCUCGAACCCCUCCGGGGGUCCGGCGUUGGGGAUCGGGAACCCCUAAGACGGGAUCCCGGCCCCGAAAUACAGUGGCGGUCUCGCCGCAGCCUCUCAUGCGCAGUAGUUUGCACAACUCGCACCGGGAGCGCGGCGCGUCCACGUCCGUAAAACACCCAACUUCUGAAAUGUUGACCUCGGAUCAGGUAGGAAUACCCGCUGAACUUAAGCAUAUCAAUAA